GAUAAUGAUGUUAUUACCAGCUGAUUAAGGAGGAGUAGUGUAAGUGUAAGAUGGGUACGAACGUCAUCUUGUGACAGCAUCACCUUUGUUUGGCUAAAGUACAAGAGAACUGCAGCAUGUAAGACUACAUGUACAUCGACUUUGAAUAAUCUACCUGGUAUAUCCUCAAAAAGGCAACUCAAAUACAGAAAGUGCAUAUAAUUUGGAAAAGAGACCAUCAAUCCACUGGGGGGUAUCGCAUGAAAGCAAUGAUUAUAGAAUAUUGUAAGGUUGGAGGAUCGAGUUAUAGUACAACAGGCAG
Molecule: long non-coding RNA, 301 nt
Organism: Saccostrea echinata
Lineage: Eukaryota; Metazoa; Mollusca; Bivalvia; Ostreida; Ostreidae
Exons: 3
Source: RefSeq, a predicted model, not a curated record